UCUCCGUUGGUGAACCAGCGGAGGGAUCAUUACCGAGUGCAAACUCAUAACCCUUUGUGAACCUAUAUCUGUUGCUUCGGCGGCUCGCUCUCGGGCGAGCCCGCCGGUAAUAUCAGUAUCUCUGUUUGAACCCGACGAUACUUCCGAGUGUUCUUAGCGAACAGUUAAAACUUUUAACAACGGAUCUCUUGGCUCUA
This 197-nucleotide unclassified non-coding RNA is filed under the name plant metagenome. Its description in RNAcentral is "partial contains small subunit ribosomal RNA, internal transcribed spacer 1, and 5.8S ribosomal RNA". The record is from RNAcentral.